GGAGAGGUGGCGGAGUGGCUGAACGCGCCGGUUUCGAAAACCGGUUAACCGCAAGGUUACGGGAGUUCGAAUCUCCCCCUCUCCG
Molecule: transfer RNA, 85 nt
Filed under: Burkholderiales bacterium
Lineage: Bacteria; Pseudomonadati; Pseudomonadota; Betaproteobacteria; Burkholderiales
Also listed under: 1 other name
Description: tRNA-Ser
Rfam family: tRNA
About the family: Transfer RNA (tRNA) molecules are approximately 80 nucleotides in length. Their secondary structure includes four short double-helical elements and three loops (D, anti-codon, and T loops). Further hydrogen bonds mediate the characteristic L-shaped molecular structure. tRNAs have two regions of fundamental functional importance: the anti-codon, which is responsible for specific mRNA codon recognition, and the 3' end, to which the tRNAs corresponding amino acid is attached (by aminoacyl-tRNA synthetases). tRNAs cope with the degeneracy of the genetic code in two manners: having more than one tRNA (with a specific anti-codon) for a particular amino acid; and 'wobble' base-pairing, i.e. permitting non-standard base-pairing at the 3rd anti-codon position.
Source: RNAcentral